RNAcentral lists this ribosomal RNA (254 nucleotides) under uncultured bacterium. RNAcentral's name for it is "partial 16S ribosomal RNA". It matches the Rfam family "Bacterial small subunit ribosomal RNA", at positions 524 to 776 of the family's 1533-position model. The record is from RNAcentral.
UACGUAGGGUGCGAGCGUUAAUCGGAAUUACUGGGCGUAAAGCGUGCGCAGGCGGUCUGUUAAGACCGAUGUGAAAUCCCCGGGCUUAACCUGGGAACUGCAUUGGUGACUGGCAGGCUUUGAGUGUGGCAGAGGGAGGUAGAAUUCCACGUGUAGCAGUGAAAUGCGUAGAUAUCAAGUGGAACACCAGUGGCGAAGGCGAAUCCCUGGAAAAUACCUGACACUGAGGCACGAAAGCUAGGGGAGCAAACAGG